UACGUAGGCAGCAAGCGUUGUUCGGAAUUACUGGGCGUAAAGAGUGUGUAGGCGGUGCUCUAAGUCUGUUGUGAAAUCUCCCGGCUUAACCGGGGAACUGCGUCUGAUACUGGAUGGCUUGAGUUUGGGAGAGGGAUGCGGAAUUCCAGGUGUAGCGGUGAAAUGCGUAGAUAUCUGGAGGAACACCGGUGGCGAAGGCGGCAUCCUGGACCAACACUGACACUGAUGAGCGAAAGCCAGGGGAGCAAACGGG
RNAcentral lists this ribosomal RNA (253 nucleotides) under uncultured bacterium. RNAcentral's name for it is "partial 16S ribosomal RNA". It matches the Rfam family "Bacterial small subunit ribosomal RNA", at positions 524 to 776 of the family's 1533-position model. The record is from RNAcentral.